AUUGCACGCUGGCGGCAGGCCUAACACAUGCAAGUCGAACGAGUGGCGGACGGGUGAGUAAUGUCUGGGAAACUGCCUGAUGGAGGGGGAUAACUACUGGAAACGGUAGCUAAUACCGCAUACCAUCAGAUGUGCCCAGAUGGGAUUAGCUAGUUGGUGGGGUAACGGCGCACCAAGGCGACGAUCCCUAGCUGGUCUGAGAGGCUGAACAGACAACCUGGAACGGAGACACGGUCCAGACUCCGACGGGAGGCAGCAGGGGGGAAUAUUGCACAAUGGGCGAAAGCCUGAGGCAGCCAUGCAGCGUGUAUGAAGAAGGCCUUAGGGUUGUAAAGUACUUUCAGCGGGGAGGCGUUACCCGCAGAAGAAGCACCGGCUAACUCCGUGCCAGCAGCCGCGGUAAUUC
This 406-nucleotide ribosomal RNA is filed under the name uncultured bacterium. Its description in RNAcentral is "partial 16S ribosomal RNA". It matches the Rfam family "Bacterial small subunit ribosomal RNA", at positions 29 to 526 of the family's 1533-position model. The record is from RNAcentral.